This 292-nucleotide ribosomal RNA is filed under the name uncultured bacterium. RNAcentral's name for it is "partial 16S ribosomal RNA". It matches the Rfam family "Bacterial small subunit ribosomal RNA", at positions 505 to 796 of the family's 1533-position model. The record is from RNAcentral.
GUGCCAGCCGCCGCGGUAAUACGGAGGGUGCAAGCGUUAUCCGGAUUUACUGGGUUUAAAGGGUGCGUAGGUGGAUAAUUAAGUCAGUGGUGAAAUCUUCAGGCUUAACCUGGAAACUGCCAUUGAUACUAUUUAUCUUGAAUACUUUGGAGGUAAGCGGAAUAUGUCAUGUAGCGGUGAAAUGCUUAGAUAUGACAUAGAACACCAAUUGCGAAGGCAGCUUACUACACAGUAAUUGACACUGAGGCACGAAAGCGUGGGGAUCAAACAGGAUUAGAAACCCGCGUAGUCC